Molecule: ribosomal RNA, 486 nt
Filed under: uncultured bacterium
Lineage: Bacteria
Description: bacterial SSU rRNA
Rfam family: Bacterial small subunit ribosomal RNA
Source: RNAcentral
AGAGUUUGAUCAUGGCUCAGGACGAACGCUGGCGGCGUGCUUAACACAUGCAAGUCAAGGGGGCCCGCAAGGGUAACCGGCGAACGGGUGCGUAACACGUGAGCAAUCUGCCUCGAUGUGGGGGAUAGCCGGCCCAACGGCCGGGUAAUACCGCAUACGCUCUCUGGGUGGCAUCACUUGGAGAGGAAACAUUUUUGGCAUUGAGAGGAGCUCGCGGCCUAUCAGCUAGUUGGUGGGGUAAUGGCCUACCAAGGCUUUGACGGGUAGCUGGUCUGAGAGGAUGGCCAGCCACAUUGGGACUGAGAUACGGCCCAGACUCCUACGGGAGGCAGCAGUGGGGAAUAUUGCGCAAUGGCCGAAAGGCUGACGCAGCGACGCCGCGUGGGGAUGAAGCAUUUCGGUGUGUAAACCCCUGUUGCCCGGGACGAACAACUGGUUUUGACCAGUCUGACGGUACCGGGUGAGGAAGCACCGGCUAACUCCGUG